UGAAGACUAACUACUGCGAUGCAUUUGCCAAGGAUGUUUUCAUUAAUCAGGAACGAAAGUUAGGGGAUCGAAGACGAUCAGAUACCGUCGUAGUCUUAACCAUAAACUAUGCCGACUAGGGAUCGGACGGUGUUAUAUUUUGACCCGUUCGGCACCUUACGAGAAAUCAAAGUGCUUGGGCUCCAGGGGGAGUAUGGUCGCAAGGCUGAGCUUAAAGAAAUUGACGGAAGGGCACCACCAGGGGUGGAGCCUGCGGCUUAAUUUGACUCAACACGGGGAAACUCACCAGGUCCAGACACAAUAAGGUUA
RNAcentral lists this ribosomal RNA (309 nucleotides) under Fusarium solani. RNAcentral describes it as "SSU rRNA". It matches the Rfam family "Eukaryotic small subunit ribosomal RNA", at positions 930 to 1241 of the family's 1831-position model. The record is from RNAcentral. Lineage: Eukaryota; Fungi; Ascomycota; Sordariomycetes; Hypocreales; Nectriaceae.